AUGAAUGUCACUUACAAACCAACAAGCUGUGGAAAAAAACAAGGAAAGACGUUACCGGAUCGGAAGGAGACGAUGGCGGCACAGCGGAAGGGCUUGCGAGAUUGCUGCAGUUCCGUUGGUGGUCUUGGGGGUGGCGGUUGCGCUGAGAACUGCGGUCAAAUAGAAAAUUGGAACAACGCUGAGGUUGGAGAAAAGAUGGGAUGGUGGGCGAAAAGCUGGUGCGGUGGUUUACAGUUUAACAGUGGUGGAAGAUUGAUGUUUGUGCAGAUUUUUUUUGUAACUACUGCUAUUGCUGAAGGUAUUUGA
RNAcentral lists this long non-coding RNA (306 nucleotides) under Vicia faba (fava bean). Lineage: Eukaryota; Viridiplantae; Streptophyta; Magnoliopsida; Fabales; Fabaceae. The record is from RNAcentral.